RNAcentral lists this ribosomal RNA (253 nucleotides) under uncultured bacterium. RNAcentral describes it as "partial 16S ribosomal RNA". It matches the Rfam family "Bacterial small subunit ribosomal RNA", at positions 524 to 776 of the family's 1533-position model. The record is from RNAcentral.
UACGUACCGUCCAAACGUUAUUCGGAAUUACUGGGCUUAAAGGGUACGUAGGCGGCGCUGUUAGUCGGGUGUGAAAUCCCUCGGCUCAACCGAGGAAUUGCGCCCGAUACUGCAGUGCUUGAGGGAGACAGAGGUAAGCGGAACUGAUGGUGGAGCGGUGAAAUGCGUUGAUAUCAUCAGGAACACCAGUGGCGAAAGCGGCUUACUGGGUCUCUACUGACGCUGAGGUGCGAAAGCGUGGGGAGCAAACAGG